GUGCUUGCUUUAGCAGCACAUAUGCUAAAACUUGAAUAAUAAAGAGAAGACUAGUGGACCCCUUUUGCAAGGAUGACACAAACCUCAUAAGAACAGAGAUCUAAGCCA
Small nuclear RNA from Jaculus jaculus (lesser Egyptian jerboa), 108 nucleotides. Lineage: Eukaryota; Metazoa; Chordata; Mammalia; Rodentia; Dipodidae. The record is from RefSeq and is a predicted model, not a curated record.